This 253-nucleotide ribosomal RNA is filed under the name uncultured bacterium. RNAcentral's name for it is "partial 16S ribosomal RNA". It matches the Rfam family "Bacterial small subunit ribosomal RNA", at positions 524 to 776 of the family's 1533-position model. The record is from RNAcentral.
UACGAAGGGGGCUAGCGUUGCUCGGAAUCACUGGGCGUAAAGCGCACGUAGGCGGACUCUUAAGUCAGGGGUGAAAUCCUGGAGCUCAACUCCAGAACUGCCUUUGAUACUGGGAGUCUCGAGUUCGGGAGAGGUGAGUGGAACUGCGAGUGUAGAGGUGAAAUUCGUAGAUAUUCGCAAGAACACCAGUGGCGAAGGCGGCUCACUGGCCCGGUACUGACGCUGAGGUGCGAAAGCGUGGGGAGCAAACAGG